AUACAGAGGGUGCGAGCGUUAAUGGGAAUUACUGGGCGUAAAGCGCGCGUAGGCGGCUUGGUCAGUCGGAUGAGAAAGCCCCGGGCUCAACCUGGGAAUGGCAUUCGAUACUGCCAGGCUAGAGUAUGGGAGAGGGAAGUGGAAUUUCCGGUGUAGCGGUGAAAUGCGUAGAUAUCGGAAGGAACACCAGUGGCGAAGGCGACUUCCUGGCCCAAUACUGACGCUGAGGUGCGAAAGCGUGGGGAGCGAACAGGAUUAGAAACCCUAGUAGUCC
RNAcentral lists this ribosomal RNA (274 nucleotides) under uncultured bacterium. RNAcentral describes it as "partial 16S ribosomal RNA". It matches the Rfam family "Bacterial small subunit ribosomal RNA", at positions 523 to 796 of the family's 1533-position model. The record is from RNAcentral.